RNAcentral lists this ribosomal RNA (1372 nucleotides) under uncultured bacterium. RNAcentral's name for it is "bacterial SSU rRNA". It matches the Rfam family "Bacterial small subunit ribosomal RNA", at positions 28 to 1381 of the family's 1533-position model. The record is from RNAcentral.
GAUGAACGCUGGCGGCGUGCCUAAUACAUGCAAGUCGAGCGAACGGACGAGAAGCUUGCUUCUCUGAUGUUAGCGGCGGACGGGUGAGUAACACGUGGAUAACCUACCUAUAAGACUGGGAUAACUUCGGGAAACCGGAGCUAAUACCGGAUAAUAUUUUGAACCGCAUGGUUCAAAAGUGAAAGACGGUCUUGCUGUCACUUAUAGAUGGAUCCGCGCUGCACUAGCUAGUUGGUAAGGUAACGGCUUACCAAGGCAACGAUGCAUAGCCGACCUGAGAGGGUGAUCGGCCACACUGGAACUGAGACACGGUCCAGACUCCUACGGGAGGCAGCAGUAGGGAAUCUUCCGCAAUGGGCGAAAGCCUGACGGAGCAACGCCGCGUGAGUGAUGAAGGUCUUCGGAUCGUAAAACUCUGUUAUUAGGGAAGAACAUAUGUGUAAGUAACUGUGCACAUCUUGACGGUACCUAAUCAGAAAGCCACGGCUAACUACGUGCCAGCAGCCGCGGUAAUACGUAGGUGGCAAGCGUUAUCCGGAAUUAUUGGGCGUAAAGCGCGCGUAGGCGGUUUUUUAAGUCUGAUGUGAAAGCCCACGGCUCAACCGUGGAGGGUCAUUGGAAACUGGAAAACUUGAGUGCAGAAGAGGAAAGUGGAAUUCCAUGUGUAGCGGUGAAAUGCGCAGAGAUAUGGAGGAACACCAGUGGCGAAGGCGACUUUCUGGUCUGUAACUGACGCUGAUGUGCGAAAGCGUGGGGAUCAAACAGGAUUAGAUACCCUGGUAGUCCACGCCGUAAACGAUGAGUGCUAAGUGUUAGGGGGUUUCCGCCCCUUAGUGCUGCAGCUAACGCAUUAAGCACUCCGCCUGGGGAGUACGACCGCAAGGUUGAAACUCAAAGGAAUUGACGGGGACCCGCACAAGCGGUGGAGCAUGUGGUUUAAUUCGAAGCAACGCGAAGAACCUUACCAAAUCUUGACAUCCUUUGACAACUCUAGAGAUAGAGCCUUCCCCUUCGGGGGACAAAGUGACAGGUGGUGCAUGGUUGUCGUCAGCUCGUGUCGUGAGAUGUUGGGUUAAGUCCCGCAACGAGCGCAACCCUUAAGCUUAGUUGCCAUCAUUAAGUUGGGCACUCUAAGUUGACUGCCGGUGACAAACCGGAGGAAGGUGGGGAUGACGUCAAAUCAUCAUGCCCCUUAUGAUUUGGGCUACACACGUGCUACAAUGGACAAUACAAAGGGCAGCGAAACCGCGAGGUCAAGCAAAUCCCAUAAAGUUGUUCUCAGUUCGGAUUGUAGUCUGCAACUCGACUACAUGAAGCUGGAAUCGCUAGUAAUCGUAGAUCAGCAUGCUACGGUGAAUACGUUCCCGGGUCU